UUGGACUCAGAUCUUAAGGGAGGUUUUGCAGGAACUCAGUCGGGGUUGUUUGUGAGUCAGAUGUCUGGUGUGAGAUGAAGAAGAAGACCCAUCUCCUCCAUUUUGUUCUUCUUCACUCUCUCCUCUUCUUGGGCUGCCUCGCUCUCUGUUCUGCGGAGCAGAUCUCUAUUUCCAGCCAUGGCCACCUCACUGACGCGGAAGUUAUGUACAUUAAGCGGCGUCAACUUCUGUACUACAGAGACGAGUUUGGUGACAGAGGGGAGGAUGUGACUGUGGAUCCUUCUCUGGUGUUUGAGAACCCUAGGCAGAGGAACGCCUACAUUGCGUUGCAAGCUUGGAAACAGGCCAUUCUAUCUGAUCCUCUUAAUCUUACGCUCAACUGGGUUGGAUCUAAUGUGUGUAACUACACCGGGGUUUACUGCGCACAAGCUCCGGACAAUUCGUCCAUCCGUACCGUCGCCGGCAUUGAUCUCAACCAUGGAGACAUCGCCGGGUACUUGCCGGAGGAGCUAGGUCUGCUAACUGAUCUUGCAUUGUUCCACAUCAACUCCAACCGCUUCUGUGGGACUGUUCCGCAUAAGUUUGCGAAGCUCAAGAUACUGUUUGAAUUGGAUCUCAGCAACAAUAGGUUCGCCGGGAAGUUCCCGGAAGUGGUGCUUCACUUGCCAACGCUGAAAUUCUUAGAUCUGCGAUUCAAUGAGUUUGAAGGAACCGUGCCGAAGGAGCUGUUUGAUAAGGAUUUGGACGCCAUUUUCAUCAACCACAACAGGUUCGCCUUCGAUCUGCCUGACAACUUCGGUAACUCGCCGGUGUCGGUGAUAGUUGUAGCGAACAACAAGCUCCACGGCUGCGUGCCGGCGAGUCUGGGCAACAUGGCGGACACGCUGAAUGAGAUAAUUCUGAUGAAUAAUCAGUUCCGAUCGUGCUUGCCUGUUGAGAUCGGAUUGUUGAAGAAUUUAACUGUGUUGGAUGUCAGUUACAAUGGAUUGUUGGGACCGUUGCCGAAAGAGAUUGGUGGAAUGGUGGAGCUUGAGCAGCUCAAUGUGGCUCACAAUAUGCUCUCUGGGAGUAUUCCUGCCAGUAUUUGUAAGCUUCCAAAUCUUGAAAAUUUUACAUUUUCAUAUAAUUUCUUCACCGGCGAGCCACCGGCAUGUUUGGGUUUGGCGGAUUUCGAAGAUAGGAGGAAUUGCUUGCCAGGGAGGCCGGAGCAGAGGUCCGCCGGGCAAUGUAACUCGUUUUUGUCCCGACCUGUUGAUUGUAGCUCUUUCAGGUGUUCUCCUUUUGUUCCUUCUUUACCUACUCCCCCACCACCCUCACCACCGGUGUUCCCCUCUCCACCCCCGACACCGGUUUACUCACCUCCACCGGUGUUCUCGCCUCCGCCACCGGUGCUCUCUUCCCCACCACCACCAUCACCGCCACCGCCAUCUCCUUCGCCUCCACCACCUCCAGUUUACUCCCCUCCUCCACCUCCACCAGUUUACUCACCUCCACCACCCCCUCCUCCCCCACCGCCACCACCACCUGUUUAUUUUCCGCCACCACCUCCACCUUCACCACCACCACCGUCUCCCCCUCCACCCUCACCCCCACCACCUUCUCCAUCACCGCCUCCCCCUCCCUCGCCACCACCACCGGUAUUAUCGCCCCCGCCUCCAGUUUAUUGCGUCCGUUCCCCACCACCGCCACCGCCAAAUUCUCCCCCGCCUCCCAUUUAUUCUCCACCACCACCUCCAGUUCAUUCACCGCCCCCACCAAGUCCUUACUAUAGUUCACCACCGCCCCCGCCGCCACAUCAUUCACCUCCACCACCUCCCCACUCGCCACCCCCGCCUCCACCUAUCUAUCCAUACGCAUCACCGCCACCGCCACCCGUGCAUUCCCCACCACCACCUGUCCAUUCUCCACCACCUCCAUGCAUAGAACCGCCUCCUCCUUCUCCACCACCCCCAUCACCACCUCCAUGCAUAGAACCGCCUCCUCCUCCUUCUCCACCACCAUGUGUAGAAUAUUCGCCACCUCCACCAUCACCACACUCACCACCGCCACCACCAGUUCAUUACUUGCCUCCACCAUCACCAUCACCCCCACCACCACCUGUGUAUGCUUCUCCGCCACCUCCACCAUCUCUGCCUCCCCCAGUUUACUACCAUUCUCCGCCCCCACCCUCACCACCUCCUCCAACCCCAUGUGAAAAUCCUCCACCUACUCCAUCACCACCGCCCCCAAUCAUUUAUGAGAGCCCACCACCUCCAACCCCUGUAUAUGAGGGGCCAUUGCCACCAAUCUUUGGAGUUUCAUACGCUUCUCCACCGCCACCACCCUUCUAUUGAUUCUUUUGAGAAUUUUCCUCCUCUUGACAUUUCCUCAAAGAAACAAAAUUUACAAUUAUAUUAGUGGUCAUGGCCUCUUUUCCCUG
Molecule: long non-coding RNA, 2419 nt
Filed under: Vitis vinifera (wine grape)
Lineage: Eukaryota; Viridiplantae; Streptophyta; Magnoliopsida; Vitales; Vitaceae
Description: long non-coding RNA (VVIN_LNC003405)
Source: RNAcentral